RNAcentral lists this ribosomal RNA (974 nucleotides) under Staphylococcus chromogenes. RNAcentral's name for it is "bacterial SSU rRNA". It matches the Rfam family "Bacterial small subunit ribosomal RNA", at positions 98 to 1056 of the family's 1533-position model. Lineage: Bacteria; Bacillati; Bacillota; Bacilli; Caryophanales; Staphylococcaceae. The record is from RNAcentral.
GCGGACGGGUGAGUAACACGUGGGUAACCUACCUAUAAGACUGGAAUAACUCCGGGAAACCGGGGCUAAUGCCGGAUAACAUAUCGAACCGCAUGGUUCGAUAGUGAAAGACGGUCUUGCUGUCACUUAUAGAUGGACCCGCGCCGUAUUAGCUAGUUGGUGAGGUAACGGCUCACCAAGGCGACGAUACGUAGCCGACCUGAGAGGGUGAUCGGCCACACUGGAACUGAGACACGGUCCAGACUCCUACGGGAGGCAGCAGUAGGGAAUCUUCCGCAAUGGGCGAAAGCCUGACGGAGCAACGCCGCGUGAGUGAUGAAGGUCUUCGGAUCGUAAAGCUCUGUUGUUAGGGAAGAACAAAUGUGUAAGUAACUGUGCACAUCUUGACGGUACCUAACCAGAAAGCCACGGCUAACUACGUGCCAGCAGCCGCGGUAAUACGUAGGUGGCAAGCGUUAUCCGGAAUUAUUGGGCGUAAAGCGCGCGUAGGCGGUUUUUUAAGUCUGAUGUGAAAGCCCACGGCUCAACCGUGGAGGGUCAUUGGAAACUGGAAAACUUGAGUGCAGAAGAGGAAAGUGGAAUUCCAUGUGUAGCGGUGAAAUGCGCAGAGAUAUGGAGGAACACCAGUGGCGAAGGCGGCUUUCUGGUCUGUAACUGACGCUGAUGUGCGAAAGCGUGGGGAUCAAACAGGAUUAGAUACCCUGGUAGUCCACGCCGUAAACGAUGAGUGCUAAGUGUUAGGGGGUUUCCGCCCCUUAGUGCUGCAGCUAACGCAUUAAGCACUCCGCCUGGGGAGUACGGUCGCAAGACUGAAACUCAAAGGAAUUGACGGGGACCCGCACAAGCGGUGGAGCAUGUGGUUUAAUUCGAAGCAACGCGAAGAACCUUACCAAAUCUUGACAUCUUUUGACCACUCUAGAGAUAGAGUUUUCCUCUUCGGAGGACAAAAUGACAGGUGGUGCAUGGUUGUCGUC